GAUGAAGAACGCAGCGAAAUGAGAUAAGUAAUGUGAAUUGCAGAAUUCAGUGAAUCAUCGAAUCUUUGAACGCACAUUGCGCCCUCUGGUAUUCCGGGGGGCAUGCCUGUUCGAGCGUCAUUAUAACCACUCAAGCUCUCGCUUGGUAUUGGAGUUCGCGAUCUCGCGGCUCCUAAAAUCAGUGGCGGUGCCUGUCGGCUCUACGCGUAGUAAUACUCCUCGCGAUUGAGUCCGGUAGGUUUACUUGCCAGCAACCCCCAAUUUUUACAGGUUGACCUCGGAUCAGGGAGGGAUACCCGCUGAACUUAAGCAUAUCAAUAAGCGGAGGA
Molecule: unclassified non-coding RNA, 329 nt
Filed under: soil metagenome
Description: partial contains 5.8S ribosomal RNA, internal transcribed spacer 2, and large subunit ribosomal RNA
Rfam family: 5.8S ribosomal RNA (bases 1-120)
Source: RNAcentral